GUGUGUUAUAUAGAGAUAAAGUCCAUGAACCUUAAGCACGUGUAACUGUUCAAUUGUCAAUCAAGAUAAGAUAGGUGGAGUCUCUAUAAACGUAAACAUUGAUAAGAUGAUAUAGCAAUAUCAUUACACGUUCUAACUUCAGAACGAUACUCAUGUUCAACAGUAUUUUCAAAGACCGAAAAUCGCUGAAGGAAAAGUGAUAUUGUGUUAGCCGUUUAAUUUGAUGAAUUCUCACAUAAACAAAUACAAAGAACCAAUGAUCCAAGAUGUACAGUUAUCAUUUUAGUAAUCUUGAUAUUGUAAUGUUAAUAACACUUGUAUAUACUCACUUUUAAAGUUGAUUGCAUGAUUUUGGCCACGUUUAUUUACCUGACACUGUUUACAUAUGCAAUACAACGUCAGAUCAUGUUCAUGUACUCUUAGAGAACUUAAAUGUCAAUAUAUGAGAUACACAACUCUCAGAGAACUCGAGGACUUAUAACAACUUACAGUAAAACAGAUAAUUUUAUUUGACUAUACAGAUAAUGUAAGGUAAUUAAUGCAGAAUAUCAAAACACUCGUACCAGUAAAUUAUGCACACCAUGUGAUAGUUGUGGUUUAAGUUAAAGCUUAGAAAUAAAUGAAUAUUAAUAAUGUUGAUAAAAAAUAUAGAAGUAAUUUAAUGUUUGCGAAAAAGUUAUGAAAAGAGAUAAGUAGAAAAUCGAUGUUUUCAUUACUGUGGAUUUUUUUCUCAAGAAAUCGUGACGAGACCCCAAAAUUAAAUCUCACACAAAAAGACCGCGCUGAAGUACAUCCAUUAUUCAUUUUUCAUUAUUCAAAAUUCAAUAAUGAAUAAUGAAAUAGUUCAUUAUUCACUAUUCAAUGUUUAGUGAUGAAUAAUGAAUAAUGAAAUAGUUUAUAUUUCAGAAUUCAAUAUGAAAAGUGAAUAAUGAAAUAGAAAAUUUAUUGUUUGACUGUGACACUAUAUCCC
This 970-nucleotide long non-coding RNA is filed under the name Mytilus galloprovincialis (Mediterranean mussel). Lineage: Eukaryota; Metazoa; Mollusca; Bivalvia; Mytilida; Mytilidae. The record is from RNAcentral.